RNAcentral lists this ribosomal RNA (448 nucleotides) under uncultured bacterium. RNAcentral's name for it is "bacterial SSU rRNA". It matches the Rfam family "Bacterial small subunit ribosomal RNA", at positions 328 to 793 of the family's 1533-position model. The record is from RNAcentral.
ACACCAGACUCCUACGGGAGGCAGCAGUGGGGAAUAUUGCACAAUGGGGGAAACCCUGAUGCAGCGACGCCGCGUGAGUGAAGAAGUAUUUCGGUAUGUAAAGCUCUAUCAGCAGGGAAGAAAAUGACGGUACCUGACUAAGAAGCCCCGGCUAACUACGUGCCAGCAGCCGCGGUAAUACGUAGGGGGCAAGCGUUAUCCGGAUUUACUGGGUGUAAAGGGAGCGUAGGCGGCAAGGUAAGUCAGGUGUGAAAACUCCGGGCUCAACCUGGAGACUGCACUUGAAACUGGGUGUCUUGAGGGCAGGAGAGGAAAGUGGAAUUCCUAGUGUAGCGGUGAAAUGCGUAGAUAUUAGGAGGAACACCAGUGGCGAAGGCGACUUUCUGGACUGUACCUGACGCUGAGGCGCGAAAGCGUGGGUAGCGAACGGGAUUAGAUACCCGGGUAA